AUGCUUACCUAGAAGAGGAAAUACCAUGAUCACAAAUGUGGCUUUCCCAAGUUGCAGCUUAUCCACUGUUCCCAAGCUGAGCUGAUCGAUCCCUGACAGUUCUUCAAAUGUGGGAAAAUCAACUGUGUAAUUUCCAGUACUGGGGGGCUGUGUUCAAGAUUUCCCUUG
Fukomys damarensis (Damara mole-rat) is the source of this 168-nucleotide small nuclear RNA. Its record names the gene U1. It matches the Rfam family "U1 spliceosomal RNA". Rfam says of the family: U1 is a small nuclear RNA (snRNA) component of the spliceosome (involved in pre-mRNA splicing). Its 5' end forms complementary base pairs with the 5' splice junction, thus defining the 5' donor site of an intron. Lineage: Eukaryota; Metazoa; Chordata; Mammalia; Rodentia; Bathyergidae. The record is from Ensembl.